CAGCAGCCGCGGGAAAACGUAGGGCGCAAGCGUUGUCCGGAAUUAUUGGGCGUAAAGAGCUCGUAGGCGGUCUGUCGCGUCUGGUGUGAAAUCCCGAGGCUCAACCUCGGGCUUGCAUCGGGUACGGGCAGACUAGAGUGCGGUAGGGGAGACUGGAAUUCCUGGUGUAGCGGUGGAAUGCGCAGAUAUCAGGAGGAACACCGAUGGCGAAGGCAGGUCUCUGGGCCGCAACUGACGCUGAGGAGCGAAAGCAUGGGGAGCGAACAGGAUUAGAUACCCCCGUAGUCCCUGUCUCUUAUAC
Molecule: ribosomal RNA, 301 nt
Filed under: uncultured bacterium
Lineage: Bacteria
Description: partial 16S ribosomal RNA
Rfam family: Bacterial small subunit ribosomal RNA
Source: RNAcentral